This 77-nucleotide non-coding RNA is filed under the name Paraburkholderia sp. BL8N3. Lineage: Bacteria; Pseudomonadati; Pseudomonadota; Betaproteobacteria; Burkholderiales; Burkholderiaceae. The record is from RNAcentral.
UUGAGCCGUAUGAGGCGAAAGUCUCACGUACGGUUCUUAGGGGGCGAUGGCACAGUAAUGUGCUGUCGCUACCCGGC